UUUACAUAAGUGAUAUGAUGUU
Molecule: small nuclear RNA, 22 nt
Filed under: Arabidopsis thaliana (thale cress)
Lineage: Eukaryota; Viridiplantae; Streptophyta; Magnoliopsida; Brassicales; Brassicaceae
Description: snRNA_17807
Source: RNAcentral